CUCUGGCUGUGGGAUGAGCCCACAUACCCUUUCCCCUUCAAGGUGGGUUUUAUGAAGCUUUCCCCCUCCACCUAUCCUGAUACCAAGAACUGGAUUUGGCAUUGGUUUUAAGUUGCUCAGAUGAAGAUUCAAGGCUCAGAGGGAAGAAACUUCCCAGGCAUCAUACAGUUGGUCAGUGUUAGAGCCAGAAUUUAAAGUCCACUCUGUUAUACCAUUCUGAUAUUCUAAUCACUUUGCUCACCCUCCCCAAUGUCUUUCAUCCUUGGGAGGAAGAACUCUUCCUUUCUUCACUGGUCCAGCCCCCCACCCACACCCCCAG
This is a long non-coding RNA of Gorilla gorilla gorilla (western lowland gorilla), 319 nucleotides long. RefSeq lists it as uncharacterized. The transcript has 3 exons. The record is from RefSeq and is a predicted model, not a curated record. Lineage: Eukaryota; Metazoa; Chordata; Mammalia; Primates; Hominidae.